GAGCCAGGCUCCUUCCUCAACCUCGACCGCUGGUAAGCCUUGUUCGGACUCCUACGGGAGCCGAACCUCCCCUCUGACUUUAAUUGCAGGGAGAUUCCACCCGGACUCCUACGGGAGUCGGGCUUCGCCCUCAACUCCAACAGCUACAGGCAGACUUCGUCCAGACUCCUACGGGAGUCGGACUCCACCCACGACCCCAACCGCAAGGGGGACUCCGCCC
RNAcentral lists this long non-coding RNA (220 nucleotides) under Elaeis guineensis (African oil palm). Its description in RNAcentral is "long non-coding RNA (EGUI_LNC079392)". The record is from RNAcentral. Lineage: Eukaryota; Viridiplantae; Streptophyta; Magnoliopsida; Arecales; Arecaceae.